GACAUAGGUGGCGAACGUUAUCCGGAUUUAUUGGGCGUAAAGGAUGCGUAGAUGGUGGAAUAAGUUAUUGGUCAAAGUCAAGCUCACCUUGGCGGAAGCUGGUAAUACUAUUCUACUUGAGGAUAGGAGAGGUUGGCGGAAUUCUGUGUGGAGCGGUGAAAUGCGUUGAUCUACAGAGGAACACCAAAAAAGGCGAAGGCAGCCAACUAGUCUAUUCCUGACAUUGAGGCAUGAAAGCGUGGGGAGCAAACCGG
Molecule: ribosomal RNA, 254 nt
Filed under: uncultured bacterium
Lineage: Bacteria
Description: partial 16S ribosomal RNA
Rfam family: Bacterial small subunit ribosomal RNA
Source: RNAcentral